Molecule: long non-coding RNA, 1036 nt
Filed under: Callithrix jacchus (white-tufted-ear marmoset)
Lineage: Eukaryota; Metazoa; Chordata; Mammalia; Primates; Cebidae
Description: lncRNA (ENSCJAG00000072623.1)
Source: RNAcentral
AGAUGUGGAAUUUCGUGCAGCUGCAACAAGUCAGCUUUUGUUGAGAAGGAUCAGACAGGGCUGACAAUGCUCGAUUCAUGUUAAGCAGAGCACAGAUCCCACAACAAGCUCAAAUCAUCGGAGGCCCAGUGUCACACUGAAAGAUGGAAAGAAGAAGGUGAAAAAUGUACUCAGAGAAAUACUGCUGCACAAUACCCCAAAUCUAUUACGAGACAUAAACCUACAGGAUAAACUCAAUUAAAUUAUCCAAGGCACAUAAUUAAGCUUCUGAAAAGUAAAGAUGAACAUCUUGAAAGCAGCCAGAGUAAAAAUGAUGCUUUUUUCAUAGAGAAAACAAUUAGAAUGACUAUUGAUUUCUCAUCAGCAACUAUGGAAGCCAGAAGGAAGUGACAAAAUAUUUUUCAGAUGCGGAAAACAACUAUCGACAAGAAUCCUGUAUCCAGUGAAAACAUUCUUCGGGAAUGAAGGGGAAAAUGUGACAGUCUUAACUGAAGAGAAACUAUGAGAAUUUGUCACAUACAGACUUAAUCUAAAAGAAUGGCUAAAGGAAGUUUUCUACACAGAAAUACACCCUGAAAGAAGAAACAGCAGGACAUCAAGAAGAAACAAGUACAUAGUAAGCAAUAAUGUAGUUAAUACAACUGGCUUUCCUUCUUAGGUUUUAAAAAUUAUGUCAGACAGUUGAAGGAAAAAUUAUGUGUAUCUAAAUGUAUGUAGAGAAAAAUAUUUAAGAUAAUUAUAUUAUAAAAUGGGGUGUUGUAAGGGAACAAAGAGGAAGAUAAGGUUUCUAUACUUCACUUAAACUGGUAAAAUGAUAGCAGCAGAUUGUGAUAAGCUUUGAAUAUACAAUGUAACACCCAAGAGUGACUACUACAAAAGCUUUGCAAAGAGAUACAUUCGAAAACACUAUAGAUAAACCAAAAUGGAAAUCUAAAUAUUGUUCAAGUAAUCCACAGGAAGAAAAGUAAAAGAAAACAGAAAUUUAAAACAGAGUAUAAACAUAAAAUAAAAAUAAAAUGUCAGACUUAAACCAUAA